UGCAGAACACCCUAUGUCAGGGGUCCCAAACAUUUUCUGUAAAUAUUUUAGGUUUUAUGGGCUUCUGUAGCACAUUCGUGUUAUGUUUUUAUUUUUACAAACCUUUACACAUAUAAGAACCCUUCUUAGCUCCCUGGGACCCAUUCUGCAGUGGAAAGUAGCUCAAUCACUGGGGUGAUAAUCUGAAACUGAAAAUCUGAACUAUACCCAAUUCUAUUCUUUUUAAAAGAGGAUUCUCUCCAAUUUCAGUCCAACAAUUCAAGCUAAGUGGCAUAGCUCAAUGCAGGGAACCAAAGAUGACAACUUUAAUUUCCACCUCUAUGAAACAGAGGUGUGCCUUAUGGCUCUAAAUCCCAUAGGCAGACCACAGUAUCUCUUGCCUAUCUCUCAUGCCAGUGCUCAGUAUGCUGACCUAUCCAUUCAGGCAUCUCAGUCAAACUACAGACUAACUGACAGAAAGCAAGACUUGUCUCAUCUCCUCCCAGAGAGGGAAAAUGAGGUCAGACAGUCCUGAAAGCCUGGUUCCCACCAUGCACUUGGCAUAGCCAGACUAGGACAGAACCUCUCGGAGGCUCCUCCGUUCAGCUGCGGUGACGCAGCAUUCUUCCUAAUGCCUCUGCAGUCUGUGCAUCCCUUAGCUUCAAAAGGAUAAACUUCAAAUGGCUAGCCCAGCCUUCACAUAGAUGAAAGGGACAGAAAAUGAUUCUUUUAAGAAAAAAAAUACAAGAUUUUAAAGAACUCCACAACAUACAAAAGGCACACAGAACAAAGAACUAUUUUAACUUUCCAAGGCUGCAUACCUAUACACCAAUCACAUCUGCAAAAGUACCACAGGGUUUGAAAUCAACUGGGUGUGAUCCAUGAAAGGUCUUCAUAAGGAAGAGAGUUACCUUAUGGAGGAUGAACGCACGAACUAGAAAGAAUAAAAUUCCAGACAUAAUUCCAGAAAGCAGUGGGGACACGAACCAAGACAUCACUGGAAUAGAACACAUUAAGAAAAAAUAUCAAAUAAUGAAAAUCAGAGACCAAAAGCUACUUUAAAUGUUUAAGAGUUCAAAAUUCUUUGGUCUGUCCCUCCACAUGCGAACACAUACUCCCAUACCUAAUGCCAUGGUAACGUAUGACAAAAACAAAAAUUAAGACGCCAUUCGAAAAAUUAAACAUACCAAUUUUUAUCAGUUCAGACCACUUGACACCCUUCUGCCCCUGUGCCACGAGGGAGAAACCAAUGGUUGCACCCACAAUACAAUGGGUUCCAGAAAUGGGGAGCUUCAAAAA
Molecule: long non-coding RNA, 1278 nt
Organism: Sapajus apella (tufted capuchin)
Lineage: Eukaryota; Metazoa; Chordata; Mammalia; Primates; Cebidae
Exons: 2
Source: RefSeq, a predicted model, not a curated record